CAGGUUGAUAUUGUUCUGCCCAAGACUCAGGUGGCGAAAGCCUUAAUGUUUGCCUGCCGAGGAAGAUGUGAAAGUUUUACAUUUCUCUCUAUGUCUUGGUGGGCGUAGGGAUUUUUUAUUCCCAUC
Molecule: regulatory RNA element, 126 nt
Rfam family: Ribosomal protein L10 leader
About the family: This family is a putative r-protein leader autoregulatory structure found in B. subtilis and other low-GC Gram-positive bacteria. It is located in the 5' untranslated regions of mRNAs encoding ribosomal proteins L10 and L12 (rplJ-rplL). A Rho-independent transcription terminator structure that is probably involved in regulation is included at the 3' end.
Source: Rfam